This 127-nucleotide microRNA precursor is filed under the name Orobanche cernua var. cumana. RNAcentral's name for it is "miR396c". Lineage: Eukaryota; Viridiplantae; Streptophyta; Magnoliopsida; Lamiales; Orobanchaceae. The record is from RNAcentral.
AUCCUGGCUUUGCCAUGUCUUCCCACAGCUUUCUUGAACUUCUUGAACAUAUAUAUAAUUAUAUAUGUAAUUCAAGAAUUGUACUUUCAGAAGUUCAAGAAAGCUGUGGAAAAGCAUGACAUGGAUU